CUCCAUCAUCAUCUUCUCCCCUCAUCUCUAGAAUCAUCUAAUUCCUCAUCUCCAAAUUCUGGAGAAAUAUUGUGAAAUUAAGCUGAGGAAAUAGUAUCCAAAGAAGAAGAACAAAUAGAGCAUCUCCAAUCUCAUUCUUACUUUCAUAAACUAUAAUCACUCCUGUUGAUCGAAACCCCCAAAUCUAGAACCAUAACUAUUUGAAAGCCUCUUGGUCCACUGAAUUUGAUCGGGUAACCAAGAAAUUAGGGAUCCAACUACAACAAGAUUCUCCUUGGAAUCUUUGAAGAACUCAAUUAUUCGUGACUCGGCUUCCAAGUCAUCUGCCAAAAUAAGAUCAUCCUCAAAUGAAUCUCUCUUUUCUUCAGGACUGUGAUCAUCAGCAAGAAUCAUUCGCAUGCUCAGAACCUUCAUCCGCUCAACAAGAAGCUCUACUACAUCGAGUCUUCCCCGACGACUCAGACUCAGACUCAGUGAGCCAUACCUCCUCCGACGAUGACCUAAACGGCUCCGUUUUACCCUCCUCCGGCGAGAACACCAACAAUUUUAAAAUCGUCGCACCGAUGUACAGAGAAGAUGAAAUCGGAAGAAGAAGAUGGUUUUAAAUUGUUAAGUUAUUUGACAGAGAAAGAAGAAGAUGGUUUUAAAUUGUUAUUUCAGAUCAAAUCGGGAAAUUUUUCAGAUCUGGUUUGGGAGAUUUGACUCUAUUCAUA
RNAcentral lists this long non-coding RNA (713 nucleotides) under Panax ginseng (ginseng). RNAcentral describes it as "long non-coding RNA (PGIN_LNC015047)". The record is from RNAcentral. Lineage: Eukaryota; Viridiplantae; Streptophyta; Magnoliopsida; Apiales; Araliaceae.